AGUGAACGCUGGCGGUAGGCCUAACACAUGCAAGUCGAACGGCAGCACAGUAAGAGCUUGCUCUUACGGGUGGCGAGUGGCGGACGGGUGAGGAAUACAUCGGAAUCUACUUUUUCGUGGGGGAUAACGUAGGGGAAACUUACGCUAAUACCGCAUACGACCUACGGGUGAAAGCAGGGGAUCUUCGGACCUUGCGCGAUUGAAUGAGCCGAUGUCGGAUUAGCUAGUUGGCGGGGUAAAGGCCCACCAAGGCGACAAUCCGUAGCUGGUCUGAGAGGAUGAUCAGCCACACUGGAACUGAGACACGGUCCAGACUCCUACGGGAGGCAGCAGUGGGGAAUAUUGGACAAUGGGCGCAAGCCUGAUCCAGCCAUACCGCGUGGGUGAAGAAGGCCUUCGGGUUGUAAAGCCCUUUUGUUGGGAAAGAAAAGCAGCAGGUUAAUACCCCGCUGUUCUGACGGUACCCAAAGAAUAAGCACCGGCUAACUUCGUG
RNAcentral lists this ribosomal RNA (493 nucleotides) under uncultured bacterium. RNAcentral's name for it is "partial 16S ribosomal RNA". It matches the Rfam family "Bacterial small subunit ribosomal RNA", at positions 29 to 507 of the family's 1533-position model. The record is from RNAcentral.